UACGUAGGGGGCGAGCGUUAUCCGGAUUUACUGGGUGUAAAGGGAGCGUAGACGGCCAUGCAAGCUCGGUGUGAAAGGUGCGGGCACAACCCGCAGACUGCACUGAGAACUGUAUGGCUGGAGUGCCGGUGGGGCAGGCGGAAUUCCUGGUGUAGCGGUGAAAUGCGUAGAUAUCAGGAGGAACACCGGUGGCGAAGGCGGCCUGCUGGACUGCAACUGACGUUGAGGCCCGAAAGCGUGGGGAGCAAACAGG
This 253-nucleotide ribosomal RNA is filed under the name uncultured bacterium. RNAcentral describes it as "partial 16S ribosomal RNA". It matches the Rfam family "Bacterial small subunit ribosomal RNA", at positions 524 to 776 of the family's 1533-position model. The record is from RNAcentral.